GACGAACGCUGGCGGCGUGCUUAACACAUGCAAGUCGAACGGAAAGGCCCUGCUUUUGUGGGGUGCUCGAGUGGCGAACGGGUGAGUAACACGUGAGUAACCUGCCCUUGACUUUGGGAUAACUUCAGGAAACUGGGGCUAAUACCGGAUAGGAGCUCCUGCUGCAUGGUGGGGGUUGGAAAGUUUCGGCGGUUGGGGAUGGACUCGCGGCUUAUCAGCUUGUUGGUGGGGUAGUGGCUUACCAAGGCUUUGACGGGUAGCCGGCCUGAGAGGGUGACCGGACACAUUGGGACUGAGAUACGGCCCAGACUCCUACGGGAGGCAGCGGUGGGGAAUAUUGCACAAUGGGCGGAGGCCUGAUGCAGCAACGCCGCGUGCGGGAUGACGGCCAUCGGGUUGUAAACCGCUUUCGCCUGUGACGAAGCGUGAGUGACGGUAAUGGGUAAAGAAGCACCGGCUAACUACGUG
Molecule: ribosomal RNA, 468 nt
Filed under: uncultured bacterium
Lineage: Bacteria
Description: partial 16S ribosomal RNA
Rfam family: Bacterial small subunit ribosomal RNA
Source: RNAcentral